Molecule: ribosomal RNA, 496 nt
Filed under: uncultured bacterium
Lineage: Bacteria
Description: partial 16S ribosomal RNA
Rfam family: Bacterial small subunit ribosomal RNA
Source: RNAcentral
AUGAACGCUGGCGGCGUGCCUAAUCCCUGCAAGUCGAGCGAACAGACGAGGAGCUUGCUCCUCUGACGUUAGCGGCGGACGGGUGAGUAACACGUGGAUAACCUACCUAUAAGACUGGGAUAACUUCGGGAAACCGGAGCUAAUACCGGAUAAUAUAUUGAACCGCAUGGUUCAAUAGUGAAAGACAGUUUUGCUGUCACUUAUAGAUGGAUCCGCGCCGCAUUAGCUAGUUGGUAAGGUAACGGCUUACCAAGGCGACGAUGCGUAGCCGACCUGAGAGGGUGAUCGGCCACACUGGAACUGAGACACGGUCCAGACUCCUACGGGAGGCAGCAGUAGGGAAUCUUCCGCAAUGGGCGAAAGCCUGACGGAGCAACGCCGCGUGAGUGAUGAAGGUCUUCGGAUCGUAAAACUCUGUUAUUAGGGAAGAACAAAUGUGUAAGUAACUAUGCACGUCUUGACGGUACCUAAUCAGAAAGCCACGGCUAACUACGUG